Molecule: ribosomal RNA, 42 nt
Filed under: Sempervivum ciliosum
Lineage: Eukaryota; Viridiplantae; Streptophyta; Magnoliopsida; Saxifragales; Crassulaceae
Also listed under: 23 other names
Description: partial 26S ribosomal RNA
Source: RNAcentral
GGGACCCCAGGUCAGGCGGGACUACCCGCUGAGUUUAAGCAU